UACGGAGGAUGCAAGCGUUAUCCGGAAUGAUUGGGCGUAAAGCGUCUGUAGGUCGUUUCCUAAGUCUCCUGUCAAAGAUAAGGCUUAACCUUGAAAAGGCAGUGGAAACUGGGAGGCUUGAGUACGGUAGAGGCGGAGGGAAUUCCCGGUGUAGCGGUGAAAUGCGUAGAGAUCGGGAAGAACACCAAAGGCGAAAGCACUCUGCUGGGCCGAAACUGACACUGAGACACGAAAGCGAGGGGAGCAAAUGGG
This 252-nucleotide ribosomal RNA is filed under the name uncultured bacterium. RNAcentral's name for it is "partial 16S ribosomal RNA". It matches the Rfam family "Bacterial small subunit ribosomal RNA", at positions 524 to 776 of the family's 1533-position model. The record is from RNAcentral.